RNAcentral lists this unclassified non-coding RNA (343 nucleotides) under soil metagenome. RNAcentral describes it as "partial contains 5.8S ribosomal RNA, internal transcribed spacer 2, and large subunit ribosomal RNA". The stretch from base 1 to 120 matches the Rfam family "5.8S ribosomal RNA", at positions 35 to 154 of the family's 154-position model. The record is from RNAcentral.
GAUGAAGAACGCAACGAAACGCGAUAAGUAAUGUGAAUUGCAGAAUCCAGUGAAUCAUCGAAUCUUUGAACGCACAUUGCGCCCGCCAGCAUUCUGGCGGGCAUGCCUGUUCGAGCGUCAUUUCAACCCUCGACCUCCCCUUGGGGAGGUCGGCGUUGGGGACCGGCAGCACACCGCCGGCCCUGAAAUGGAGUGGCGGCCCGUCCGCGGCGACCUCUGCGCAGUAAUACAGCUCGCACCGGGACCCCGACGCGGCCACGCCGUAAAACACCCAACUUCUGAACGUUGACCUCGACUCAGGUAGGACUACCCGCUGAACUUAAGCAUAUCAAUAAGCGGAGGA